CAUUCCGAGGAGCGUUGCAGCGGCCCCCAUUCUGUUGACAGACAUGGCGAGGACGUGAGGCUCGGAACCCUACUUUGCAACGACGCUCAUCCACU
Molecule: non-coding RNA, 95 nt
Filed under: Limnohabitans sp. 103DPR2
Lineage: Bacteria; Pseudomonadati; Pseudomonadota; Betaproteobacteria; Burkholderiales; Comamonadaceae
Also listed under: 1 other name
Description: SAH (S-adenosyl-L-homocysteine) riboswitch aptamer
Rfam family: SAH (S-adenosyl-L-homocysteine) riboswitch aptamer
Source: Rfam by way of RNAcentral